RNAcentral lists this ribosomal RNA (468 nucleotides) under uncultured bacterium. RNAcentral's name for it is "partial 16S ribosomal RNA". It matches the Rfam family "Bacterial small subunit ribosomal RNA", at positions 28 to 507 of the family's 1533-position model. The record is from RNAcentral.
GACGAACGCUGGCGGCGUGCUUAACACAUGCGAGUCGAACGGAAAGGCCCUGCUUUUGUGGGGUGCUCGAGUGGCGAACGGGUGAGUAACACGUGAGUAACCUGCCCUUGACUUUGGGAUAACUUCAGGAAACUGGGGCUAAUACCGGAUAGGAGCUCCUGCUGCAUGGUGGGGGUUGGAAAGUUUCGGCGGUUGGGGAUGGACUCGCGGCUUAUCAGCUUGUUGGUGGGGUAGUGGCUUACCAAGGCUUUGACGGGUAGCCGGCCUGAGAGGGUGGCCGGCGACAUUGGGACUGAGAUACGGACCAGACUCCUACGGGAGGCAGCAGUGGGGAAUAUUGCACAAUGGGCGGAAGCGUGAUGCAGCAACGCCGCGUGCGGGAUGACGGCCUUCGGGUUGUAAACCGCUUUCGCCUGUGACGAAGCGUGAGUGACGGUAAUGGGUAAAGAAGCACCGGCUAACUACGUG